ACGAACGCUGGCGGCGUGCUUAACACAUGCAAGUCGAACGGAAAGGCCCUGCUUGCAGGGUGCUCGAGUGGCGAACGGGUGAGUAACACGUGGGUGAUCUGCCCCUUACUUUGGGAUAAGCCUGGGAAACUGGGUCUAAUACUGGAUAGGACCAUGCUGUAGGUGGUGUGGUGGAAAGAUUAGUUUCGGUAAGGGAUGAGCUCGCGGCCUAUCAGCUUGUUGGUGGGGUAAUGGUCUACCAAGGCGUCGACGGGUAGCCGGCCUGAGAGGGUGGACGGCCACAUUGGGACUGAGAUACGGCCCAGACUCCUACGGGAGGCAGCAGUGGGGAAUAUUGCACAAUGGGCGCAAGCCUGAUGCAGCGACGCCGCGUGGGGGAUGACGGCCUUCGGGUUGUAAACUCCUUUCAGCCAUGGCGAAGCCCUUGUGGUGACGGUAGUGGUAGAAGAAGCACCGGCUAACUACGUG
This 468-nucleotide ribosomal RNA is filed under the name uncultured bacterium. RNAcentral's name for it is "partial 16S ribosomal RNA". It matches the Rfam family "Bacterial small subunit ribosomal RNA", at positions 29 to 507 of the family's 1533-position model. The record is from RNAcentral.